Long non-coding RNA from Neofelis nebulosa (Clouded leopard), 903 nucleotides. RefSeq lists it as uncharacterized. The record is from RefSeq and is a predicted model, not a curated record. Lineage: Eukaryota; Metazoa; Chordata; Mammalia; Carnivora; Felidae. The transcript is spliced from 3 exons.
GUGUGUGGGAAGCAGUAUGUAGCCCCUUCACACACCCACCUGUAGAAAGGCUUGGAACUCUCAGAAAGUUUCCUUCUGAAGGGACCUGGGCUCCAGCCCACUGAUGACAGACUUAAGCCUCAGCCAGAGGUUGGAAGAAGAAUUUUCCAGGAAUAUAACUGUCAUGUAAAUUGAUGGAAGACCAUAUUUACUUUGUUUCCACUUGGUUAAGAGGGGUUUACAUUUUGGAAAAUUGUAUCCCUGAUGGCAACACUGCUCGUGGUCUGAGUCACCUGCGGUCUGCUGUGGUCUGGCUGUCCGGACUAGGGCAAACAGGGUGGCAUUGAACAUUACAGUCCCAUCACUGUUCAGAGGCAUGUUCAUGGAGACCAGGCGCUGGAGGAGAAAGGGAGGCAAAGCUGGUGAUUACAGCAAACAGUUCUCAAAGGACCUACAGAGCCACCAUGGCAGGAGAAUGCCAGGAGGGAGCCUUGAAACUUGUGUGUGUGUUGGGAGCAGGUGGGGGUUGAGGCAUGGGUCACUAAAAUGUAUUCAAAAUCUGUUCUGGGGAGAAUCUCAGCUCUGCCAUAAGUACUUUCACCCUACCACACAGAGUGAAGGAAGAAUGGAAAUUGUCCUUAUUAGACACUUGCCUCCACAAAAGGAUGGUAAGCCCACACAACCCCCUCCUCUGCUCAAAUGUCUGCUCAGGCAUAUGGGUGUGCUUUCUACUGGCAACGAAGAACAGCUGCAUGCCAGGCAUUUGCCAGGAGCCCACCUGCCAGCAGCAUUCAUCCAAAGCCUUGACAAGAGAGACAGUAAUGGCAGGUUUGCAUGCAGGAGGUGUAGUGUAUCUUCUUUUCUGUAUAUUGAAAAAUAUACCUCUGCAUCAAGCUGAAUUAAAAGCUUGUUGACUGGAUUGGA